This 478-nucleotide ribosomal RNA is filed under the name uncultured Bacteroidales bacterium. RNAcentral describes it as "bacterial SSU rRNA". It matches the Rfam family "Bacterial small subunit ribosomal RNA", at positions 39 to 503 of the family's 1533-position model. The record is from RNAcentral. Lineage: Bacteria; Pseudomonadati; Bacteroidota; Bacteroidia; Bacteroidales.
GCUACAGGCUUAACACAUGCAAGUCGAGGGGCAGCAUUUCAGUUUGCUUGCAAACUGGAGAUGGCGACCGGCGCACGGGUGAGUAACACGUAUCCAACCUGCCGAUAACUCGGGGAUAGCCUUUCGAAAGAAAGAUUAAUACCCGAUGGUAUAAUUAGACCGCAUGGUCUUGUUAUUAAAGAAUUUCGGUUAUCGAUGGGGAUGCGUUCCAUUAGGCAGUUGGUGAGGUAACGGCUCACCAAACCUUCGAUGGAUAGGGGUUCUGAGAGGAAGGUCCGCCACAUUGGAACUGAGACACGGUCCAAACUCUUACGGGGAGGCAGCAGUGAGGAAUAUUGGUCAAUAGGGCGCAGGCUUGAACCAGCCAAGUAGCGUGAAGGAUGACUGCCCUAUGGGUUGUAAACUUCUUUUAUAUGGGAAUAAAGUUUUCCACGUGUGGAAUUUUGUAUGUACCAUAUGAAUAAGGAUCGGCUAACUC